This 27-nucleotide non-coding RNA is filed under the name Mus musculus (house mouse). Lineage: Eukaryota; Metazoa; Chordata; Mammalia; Rodentia; Muridae. The record is from RNAcentral.
UGACAAUGUGGAGUCUCGAGUCAAGGC